This 779-nucleotide ribosomal RNA is filed under the name unidentified microorganism. RNAcentral describes it as "bacterial SSU rRNA". It matches the Rfam family "Bacterial small subunit ribosomal RNA", at positions 657 to 1433 of the family's 1533-position model. The record is from RNAcentral.
GAGACUGGAAUUCCUGGUGUAGCGGUGAAAUGCGCAGAUAUCAGGAGGAACACCGAUGGCGAAGGCAGGUCUCUGGGCUGUUACUGACGCUGAGGAGCGAAAGCAUGGGGAGCGAACAGGAUUAGAUACCCUGGUAGUCCAUGCCGUAAACGUUGGGCACUAGGUGUGGGGGACAUUCCACGUUUUCCGCGCCGUAGCUAACGCAUUAAGUGCCCCGCCUGGGGAGUACGGCCGCAAGGCUAAAACUCAAAGGAAUUGACGGGGGCCCGCACAAGCGGCGGAGCAUGCGGAUUAAUUCGAUGCAACGCGAAGAACCUUACCAAGGCUUGACAUUCACCGGACCGCCCCAGAGAUGGGGUUUCCCUUCGGGGCUGGUGGACAGGUGGUGCAUGGUUGUCGUCAGCUCGUGUCGUGAGAUGUUGGGUUAAGUCCCGCAACGAGCGCAACCCUCGUUCUAUGUUGCCAGCACGUGAUGGUGGGGACUCAUAGGAGACUGCCGGGGUCAACUCGGAGGAAGGUGGGGAUGACGUCAAAUCAUCAUGCCCCUUAUGUCUUGGGCUUCACGCAUGCUACAAUGGCCGGUACAAAGGGUUGCGAUACUGUGAGGUGGAGCUAAUCCCAAAAAGCCGGUCUCAGUUCGGAUUGAGGUCUGCAACUCGACCUCAUGAAGUCGGAGUCGCUAGUAAUCGCAGAUCAGCAACGCUGCGGUGAAUACGUUCCCGGGCCUUGUACACACCGCCCGUCAAGUCACGAAAGUUGGUAACACCCGAAGCCGGUGG